CUAUAAUGCAGUCGAGCGAACAGAAAAGGAGCUUGCUCCUUUGACGUUAGCGGCGGACGGGUGAGUAACACGUGGGCAACCUACCCUAUAGUUUGGGAUAACUCCGGGAAACCGGGGCUAAUACCGAAUAAUCUCUUUUGCUUCAUGGUGAAAGACUGAAAGACGGUUUCGGCUGUCGCUAUAGGAUGGGCCCGCGGCGCAUUAGCUAGUUGGUGAGGUAACGGCUCACCAAGGCGACGAUGCGUAGCCGACCUGAGAGGGUGAUCGGCCACACUGGGACUGAGACACGGCCCAGACUCCUACGGGAGGCAGCAGUAGGGAAUCUUCCACAAUGGGCGAAAGCCUGAUGGAGCAACGCCGCGUGAGUGAAGAAGGUUUUCGGAUCGUAAAACUCUGUUGUAAGGGAAGAACAAGUACAGUAGUAACUGGCUGUACCUUGACGGUACCUUAUUAAAAAGCCACGGCUAACUACGUGCCAGCAGCCGCGGUAAUACGUAAGUGGCAAGCGUUGUCCGGAAUUAUUGGGCGUAAAGCGCGCGCAGGCGGUCCUUUAAGUCUGAUGUGAAAGCCCACGGCUCAACCGUGGAGGGUCAUUGGAAACUGGGGGACUUGAGUGCAGAAGAGGAAAGUGGAAUUCCAAGUGUAGCGGUGAAAUGCGUAGAGAUUUGGAGGAACACCAGUGGCGAAGGCGACUUUCUGGUCUGUAACUGACGCUGAGC
Molecule: ribosomal RNA, 719 nt
Filed under: Lysinibacillus macroides
Lineage: Bacteria; Bacillati; Bacillota; Bacilli; Caryophanales; Bacillaceae
Description: bacterial SSU rRNA
Rfam family: Bacterial small subunit ribosomal RNA
Source: RNAcentral